AAAACAACACCAGCACUAUCAAAAUUAAAAGAAAUAAAAAUGAAGAGACACAUGGAGAAUAGCAUAACCAUUUUCUCCAUCAUCGACUGAAGUUCGUCGGCGACCAGUGCUUCCGUCGGCUACUAUUACUUCCAUCCGCCUCCUUUUUUUCCUUUGUCAGCCCUAAAGUUGUUCGACAUCAAUCGGUUUAGGGUAAACAGAAGUUGCGACUUUUAUUCUUGAACAGAGCUUCGAUUCUUCUUCUUCUUCAACAUAGCUUCGACUUGCAGCUCUAACAGAUUUGUUAAGUUGAUCCCAGUCCUCCUAAGGAAGAUGGCUCAGAAGAAUGCCCUUGUUCGGAAAUUUCCUAGUGUUGAAAUUCUUGGCCGCACAACCGUGAUUUGUUCUCAGCUUCAUUCUUCAUCUCAGUUGAUGAUAUGAUAAUAUGACAAUGGAUUUUGAUGAGAGGUACUUCCAUGGGAAACCACAAAAUAGCUUCCACAAAGCAAUGAAUAUCCCUGAUGUGGCAGUUUUUCCAAGGAAUGCAGAGGAAGUGUCCAAGAUAGUCAAAUCUUGUAACAAGUAUAAGGUCUAAGCUCCUUGCUUUUGAGGGUUGUCUGAUUUUUCUCUUUUUCUUUCAAUUGGUUCUUAUUGUUUUUCAGUUGCUAAUAUAUAAUGUGAAUGGGUAACUCUUCUUUUACGCAUUUGAGUUUUUGGCUAUUGGAUUGUUCAAACUGAUAAUUAUUUGUAUCCAUUCAUUAGGCAUGAAAAUCCAAAUUUGAAAUGCAGAAAAGAACCAAAUAUAAUGGUUGUUUUUACUUAACAUAUACAUAUUCACUAUAAAUAAUUUUGACAACUGGCUUAUUUAUUUGAACUUUUCUUUUAUUUUUUUUAUAAUUUAUUUUCUGGUUUAAUUUGAUGAGCAUGUCCCUAUGGUGGAGCCACAUCACUCGAGGGUCAUACAUUAUCACCUCAUGGAGGUGUUUGCAUUGACAUGAAUUUGAUGAAAGUAUGAGCCUGUUUCUUGUUAUAAAUCACGCCACAUGAUUUUAAGGCCCCUUUUAUCAGUAAAAUUUAGUUUAUUGACAUUCAUUAAUAACUUGAUUUUGUUUUAGCUAUCAACCAUACAUUUUGGUGCUUUCUAAGGCAUUUUAAUCUCAAUAUAGGGUUCGCAUAUGUUUGUUUUAUAAUGGAGAUUAUUUUGAAUACUUUUCUUAGGUCUAUUUUGGCCCUUUGGUGAUACAAUGUGUAGUUCAUGUCACUUAUGUUUCAAUAGGUGCGGGGGACCCCAUUUGUAGAUUUUGGCUCAAUCAAUAAGGCCUACUUGUUUCAUGUUAGUGGUGAAACUUGUGCAGGCUCACCUUAUU
Non-coding RNA from Camellia sinensis, 1346 nucleotides. NCBI's taxonomy places the organism in Eukaryota, Viridiplantae, Streptophyta, Magnoliopsida, Ericales, Theaceae. The record is from RefSeq and is a predicted model, not a curated record.